This 497-nucleotide ribosomal RNA is filed under the name uncultured bacterium. Its description in RNAcentral is "partial 16S ribosomal RNA". It matches the Rfam family "Bacterial small subunit ribosomal RNA", at positions 28 to 507 of the family's 1533-position model. The record is from RNAcentral.
GAUGAACGCUGGCGGCGUGCCUAAUACAUGCAAGUCGAGCGAACAGACGAGGAGCUUGCUCCUCUGACGUUAGCGGCGGACGGGUGAGUAACACGUGGAUAACCUACCUAUAAGUCUGGGAUAACUUCGGGAAACCGGAGCUAAUACCGGAUAAUAUAUUGAACCGCAUUGUUCAAUAGUGAAAGACGGUUUUGCUGUCACUUAUAGAUGGAUCCGCGCCGCAUUAGCUAGUUGGUAAGGUAACGGCUUACCAAGGCAACGAUGCGUAGCCGACCUGAGAGGGUGAUCGGCCACACUGGAACUGAGACACGGUCCAGACUCCUACGGGAGGCAGCAGUAGGGAAUAUUACGCAAUGGGCGAAAGCCUGACGGAGCAACGCCGCGUGAGUGAUGAAGGUCUUCGGAUCGUAAAACUCUGUUAUUAGGGAAGAACAAAUGUGUAAGUAACUAUGCACGUCUUGACGGUACCUAAUCAGAAAGCCACGGCUAACUACGUG